AGCAGCCGCGGUAAUUCCAGCUCCAAUAGCGUAUAUUAAAGUUGUUGCAGUUAAAAAGCUCGUAGUUGAAUUUCGGGAUCAAUAUAUUGGUCGUGCCUUCGGUAUGCACUGGUAUUAUUGAUUUCUACCUUCUGACGAACUAUGAUGUCAUUAAUUUGGUGUCAUGGGGAAUCAGGACUGUUACUUUGAAAAAUUGAGUGUUUAAAGCAGGCACACGCUUGAAUACAUUAGCAUGGAAUAAUGAAAUAGGACGUUUGACCCUAUUUUGUUGGUUUCUAGGAUCGACGUAAUGAUUAAUAGGGAUAGUUGGGGGCAUUAGUAUUCAAUUGUCAGAGGUGAAAUUCUUGGAUUUAUUGAAGACUAACUACUGCGAAAGCAUUUGCCAAGGAUGUUUUCAUUAAUCAAGAACGAAAGUUAGGGGAUCGAAGACGAUCAGAUACCGUCGUAGUCUUAACCAUAAACUAUGCCGACUAGGGAUCGGAUGAUGUUAAUUUUUAAUGACUCAUUCGGUACG
Molecule: ribosomal RNA, 514 nt
Filed under: uncultured Glomeromycotina
Lineage: Eukaryota; Fungi; Glomeromycota
Description: SSU rRNA
Rfam family: Eukaryotic small subunit ribosomal RNA
Source: RNAcentral